UGGGGAAUAUUGGGCAAUGGGCGAAAGCCUGAUCUAGCCACGCCGCGUGUGUGAAGAAGGCCUUUUGGUUGUAAAGCUCUUUAAGCGAGGAGGAGGCAACUUGGAUUAAUACUCUAGGAUAGUGGACGUUACUCGCAGAAUAAGCACCGGCUAACUCUGUGCCAGCAGCCGCGGUAAUACUGAGGGUGCGAGCGUUACUCGGAUUUACUGGGCGUAAAGCGUGCGUAGGCGGUUUCUUAAGUCGGAUGUGAAAUCCCUGGGCUUAACUUAGGAAGUGCAUUCGAUACUGGGAAGCUAGAGUAUAGGAGAGGAUGGUAGAAUUCCAGGUGUAGCGGUGAAAUGCGUAGAGAUCUGGAGGAAUACCGGUGGCGAAGGCAGCCAUCUGGCCUAAUACUGACGCUGAGGUACGAAAGCAUGGGGAGCAAACAGG
RNAcentral lists this ribosomal RNA (430 nucleotides) under Acidobacteriota bacterium. RNAcentral's name for it is "Acidobacteria bacterium partial 16S ribosomal RNA". It matches the Rfam family "Bacterial small subunit ribosomal RNA", at positions 355 to 776 of the family's 1533-position model. Lineage: Bacteria; Pseudomonadati; Acidobacteriota. The record is from RNAcentral.